UCACUUCUAUGUCUUUCUUAUAACUCCAAAACCUUUCUGCCUUUGCCAUCAUCCAAGAACACCGAUCUUCCACCUUCCGGCACCGUCCUUCCGGCAACUCGACCGGCACCGUCCUUCCGGCAACUCGGCCGGCACCGUCCUUCCAUCUUUCUUAAUCGUUUAGUUCUGGUUCGUUCCUGUUCAUCCUUUCCAACUUUUUUCUCUUAUUUAUUCUUCUUUUACGUUGUUUCAAUGGCUGUUUUAGUUUUCUUUUGAUUGUUUUUUGGUGUGUUGUUUUGUUGAAUUAUUGUUCUUCUAUUAUGUUGAUUUUUUUCAAAUAUCGUUCUAUUUUCUGAAGGAGGAGAAGGGAUUUUUUUUCAAAAAUUGUGUCUUGAUUUUUUUCUCUUAUUUGAUAUUGAUUUUGUUCUCUUAUUUGAAAUCAUGACUUGCAAAUGAUUUUUUUUAAAGAGUCAUGAUUAUAAUGAGUACAUUAUUAACGUUUUUGCAAGAAAAAAUAUAAUAAUUACGAGGUUAUCAUUAUCAUUUCUUCUAGUAGAGAGAUUAUCUUCAACCAUCUUAUUGUAACCUUUGAUGCAAUGCAAAUUAUAACAUUUGUAAUGAACACAAGCUUUAUGAUCUUGUAGGAAAUAGCUCCAAUUAUGUAGUAGGGCUAUAUUUGUCAUUGUUUGUAUACCUUGAAAAAUAUAAAUUACAGAACUAGUUUUUUUGGAUUUAUGGACGAGUGCAUUCUCUUUUUUUCCCUCUGUGGGAGUUGAUCAAACCUUUCCCCCUAAAAUAUGGUUCAUUAUGCACAGACACUUGGAAGAAGGAUAUUAACCCAAGAUAUAUUGUAGAUGCAAUAAAUGAUGGGGCACCAGGAAAAUUAAGGGUCAUAUCUGUACACAGACACUCAUUUUUAUCAGUGCCUUAUCUUUAUUUGAACAUUAGUGCAGCAUAUUAUAUUGGAGUCACACAGACACUCAUUUUUAUCAGCGCCUUAUCUUUAUUUGAUACCAUGUCCACCUCUAGAACAGAAAACUGUGUGGAGCUACCUAUGGUAACUUCUAUUCUUUGUGGGGGUAGUCUAGCUUAAGUAAUUAAGUAAACAUAUUUCACUUAGAAAUUAUAAAGUGGUUUUUCUUCUUUUACUUAGGCAUAAAGUGAGUGGAAACUCG
RNAcentral lists this long non-coding RNA (1154 nucleotides) under Cicer arietinum (chickpea). RNAcentral's name for it is "long non-coding RNA (CARI_LNC003776)". The record is from RNAcentral. Lineage: Eukaryota; Viridiplantae; Streptophyta; Magnoliopsida; Fabales; Fabaceae.